CCUACGGGUGGCAGCAGUAGGGAAUUUUGCGCAAUGGGCGAAAGCCUGACGCAGCAACGCCGCGUGAUCGAGACGCCCUUUGGGGUGUAAAGAUCUGUCAGUGGGGACGAAACUUGACGGUACCCACAGAGGAAGCACCGGCUAACUCCGUGCCAGCAGCCGCGGUAAUACGGAGGGUGCAAGCGUUGUCCGGAGUCAUUGGGCGUAAAGAGUUCGUAGGCGGGACGUAAAGUCUGGUGUGAAAGGCAGAGGCUCAACUUCGGUACGGCACUGGAUACUUGCGGGCUAGAAUGCGGUAGAGGUAAGGGGAAUUCCUGGUGUAGCGGUGAAAUGCGUAGAUAUCAGGAGGAACAACGGGGGCGAAGGCGGUUUACUGGGCCGUAAUUGACGCUGAGGAACGAAAGCCAGGGUAGCAAAUGGGAUUAGAUACCCUUGUAGUC
This 440-nucleotide ribosomal RNA is filed under the name uncultured bacterium. Its description in RNAcentral is "partial 16S ribosomal RNA". It matches the Rfam family "Bacterial small subunit ribosomal RNA", at positions 338 to 795 of the family's 1533-position model. The record is from RNAcentral.